This 264-nucleotide ribosomal RNA is filed under the name uncultured bacterium. Its description in RNAcentral is "partial 16S ribosomal RNA". It matches the Rfam family "Bacterial small subunit ribosomal RNA", at positions 96 to 354 of the family's 1533-position model. The record is from RNAcentral.
UGGCAAACGGGUGAGUAACACGUGGGCAACCUGCCCAAAAGAGGGGGAUAACACUUGGAAACAGGUGCUAAUACCGCAUAACCAUAGUUACCGCAUGGUAACUAUGUAAAAGGUGGCUAUACUACCGCUUUUGGAUGGGCCCGCGGCGCAUUAGCUAGUUGGUAGGGUAAAGGCUUACCAAGGCAAUGAUGCGUAGCCGAAUUGAGAGGUUGAUCGGCCACAUUGGGACUGAGACACGGCCCAAACUCCUACGGAAGGCAGCAG